Molecule: ribosomal RNA, 462 nt
Filed under: uncultured bacterium
Lineage: Bacteria
Description: bacterial SSU rRNA
Rfam family: Bacterial small subunit ribosomal RNA
Source: RNAcentral
ACGCUGGCGGCGCGCCUAACACAUGCAAGUCGAACGGAGCUUAGAGAGCUUGCUUUUUAAGCUUAGUGGCGAACGGGUGAGUAACGCGUGAGUAACCUGCCCUAGAGUGGGGGACAACAGUUGGAAACGACUGCUAAUACCGCAUAAGCCCACGGUACCGCAUGGCACUGAGGGAAAAGGAUUUAUUCGCUUUAGGAUGGACUCGCGUCCAAUUAGCUAGUUGGUGAGGUAACGGCCCACCAAGGCGACGAUUGGUAGCCGGACUGAGAGGUUGAACGGCCACAUUGGGACUGAGAUACGGCCCAGACUCCUACGGGAGGCAGCAGUCGGGAAUAUUGCGCAAUGGAGGAAACUCUGACGCAGUGACGCCGCGUAUAGGAAGAAGGUUUUCGGAUUGUAAACUAUUGUCGUUAGGGAAGAUACAAGACAGUACCUAAGGAGGAAGCUCCGGCUAACUACGUG